This 363-nucleotide ribosomal RNA is filed under the name Triticum aestivum (bread wheat). RNAcentral describes it as "partial small subunit ribosomal RNA". Lineage: Eukaryota; Viridiplantae; Streptophyta; Magnoliopsida; Poales; Poaceae. The record is from RNAcentral.
AUGAUUGUUGUGCAUCAUGUCUUGUCAUGUGUGGUGUGUUUACCAUGUUGUGUGCUUCUUCUCGAUAGUUCCCGUUUCGUUGCGAUCGUGAGGAUGCGUUCGUCUACGUGUGGUUCGUCUUCGUGGCUUCAUCUUCUUCAUGGACUCAUUCUUCUUCCUUGCGGGAUUUCAGGAAAGAUGACCGUCACCCUAGAUCUCACUACUAUCAUUGCUAUGCUAGUUGCUUCGUUCUAUCGCUUUGCUGCGCUACCUAUCAUUUGCUCUUCAAGCCUCCCAAAUUGCCAUGAACCUCUAACAUUUGACACCCUUCCUAGCAAACCGUUGUUUGGCUAUGUUACCGCUUUUGCUCAGCCCCUCUUAUAG